CCUACGGGAGGCAGCAGUGGGGAAUAUUGCGCAAUGGGCGAAAGCCUGACGCAGCGACGCCGCGUGAGGGAUGAAGGUCUUCGGAUCGUAAACCUCUGUCAGCAGGGAAGAACGGUCACUGUGCUAAUCAGCAGUGAAUUGACGGUACCUGCAAAGGACGCACCGGCUAACUCCGUGCCAGCAGCCGCGGUAAUACGGAGGGUGCGAGUGUUAAUCGGAUUUACUGGGCGUAAAGCGCUCGUAGGCGGUAUGUCAAGUCUAGGGUGAAAUCCCCGCGCUCAACGUGGGAACUGCCUUUGAAACUGGCAAACGUGAGUGUGUGGGAGGAGAGUGGAAGUCCAGGUGUAGGAGUGAAAUCCGUAGAUAUCUGGAGGAACAUCAGUGGCGAAGGCGACUAUCUGGCACAUAACUGACGCUGAGGAGCGAAAGCGUGGGUAGCGAACAGGAUUAGAUACCCCGGUAGUC
RNAcentral lists this ribosomal RNA (465 nucleotides) under uncultured bacterium. Its description in RNAcentral is "partial 16S ribosomal RNA". It matches the Rfam family "Bacterial small subunit ribosomal RNA", at positions 338 to 795 of the family's 1533-position model. The record is from RNAcentral.